CACGGGGGGAGCGAACGUUGUUCGGAAUCACUGGGCGUAAAGGGCGUGUAGGCGGUUCGGUAAGUGGAAUGUGAAAUCCCCCGGCUUACCCGGGGAACUGCAUCCCAUACUGCUGGACUUGAGUGCGGGAGAGGAUGGAGGAAUUCCUGGUGUAGCGGUGAAAUGCGUAGAUAUCAGGAAGAACACCAAUGGCGAAGGCAGCUCUCUGGGACGGUACUGACGCUGAGACGCGAAAGCGUGGGGAGCGAACAGG
This 253-nucleotide ribosomal RNA is filed under the name uncultured bacterium. RNAcentral describes it as "partial 16S ribosomal RNA". It matches the Rfam family "Bacterial small subunit ribosomal RNA", at positions 524 to 776 of the family's 1533-position model. The record is from RNAcentral.